GUGACUGUGAAACAGAAGCAGUGCAAGAUCAUCUACAUUGUGAGAAAUCCGAAGGAUACAGCGGUGUCCAUGUUCCAUUAUUACAGGGACAACCCUAACCUCCCUUCCACAGAAACAUGGGCUGCGUUUCUAGAGCUGUUCCUCAAAGGAGACGUUGUGUAUGGCUCCUGGUUUGAUCAUGUUUUGAGCUGGGAAGAACACAAAAAUGAUAAGAACGUCCUCUUCCUCUUCUACGAAGAAAUGAAAAAGGAUUUUGUUAAGAGCCUAAA
RNAcentral lists this long non-coding RNA (269 nucleotides) under Rattus norvegicus (Norway rat). Its description in RNAcentral is "long non-coding RNA NONRATT021955". Lineage: Eukaryota; Metazoa; Chordata; Mammalia; Rodentia; Muridae. The record is from RNAcentral.